AUAAAAACUAUGAUGGAGAAGAGUAAAUAGUGGAGUAUUUUUAGAGAAUUGGGAUAAGGUGAAAACCCAUGAAUACGAAACUUUUGAAAAUCACUCCUAAGUUACAAGCUGAAAUUAGUAAGCUGUGUCGGUAUUACCGUUAUUAGAAUUAGAAAAAAGUUGGGUGGUACCGCAAAGCUUCUUGCCCUAGGC
Molecule: non-coding RNA, 192 nt
Filed under: Clostridium autoethanogenum
Lineage: Bacteria; Bacillati; Bacillota; Clostridia; Eubacteriales; Clostridiaceae
Description: T-box sequence
Rfam family: T-box leader
About the family: Uncharged tRNA acts as the effector for transcription antitermination of genes in the T-box leader family. T-boxes are found upstream of many aminoacyl-tRNA synthetase genes and some amino acid biosynthetic genes usually in Gram-positive bacteria.
Source: RNAcentral